UACGGAGGAUGCGAGCGUUAUCCGGAUUUAUUGGGUUUAAAGGGUGCGUAGGCGGGAUGCCAAGUCAGCGGUAAAAAUGCGGUGCUCAACGCCGUCGAGCCGUUGGAACUGGCGUUCUUGAGUGGGCGAGAAGUAUGCGGAAUGCGUGGGGUAGCGGUGAAAUGCAUGGAUAUCACGCAGAACUCCGAUUGCGAAGGCAGCAUACCGGCGCCCUACUGACGCUGAGGCACGAAAGCGUGGGUAUCGAACAGG
This 252-nucleotide ribosomal RNA is filed under the name uncultured bacterium. RNAcentral's name for it is "partial 16S ribosomal RNA". It matches the Rfam family "Bacterial small subunit ribosomal RNA", at positions 524 to 776 of the family's 1533-position model. The record is from RNAcentral.